This is a non-coding RNA of Zalophus californianus (California sea lion), 1079 nucleotides long. The record is from the annotation of a RefSeq genome assembly. Lineage: Eukaryota; Metazoa; Chordata; Mammalia; Carnivora; Otariidae.
CCCAGCCCACUGAACGCAGGCAACUCCUGCCCCACUGGCAUUUUGCCGCCUCCAUGGCCUCUCCAGUCCCAGGGGAGAGGCUCCACAGACCCAAGUGCCCUCUGAGAAGGAAGGCAGGAGCAGGUGUGGCCCACCCAGGGCCCCAGGGGCAAGACCAGGCUUGCAGCUGUGGUGGGAGACGGUUGAGCUCUGGAUGCCGACCACAGCAGGGCAAUUGGCCAAUGGCCCACUGGGAGAGACCCCCCGGAGUAACAGCCAUGGGCCUUGGAGAGAAGGUUCAGGCAGAGGACCGGGCCACUUGGGCCAGGGAACACUGGGAUAGCCGCUGCCAGCAAGAAGAACUGGGGAAACUACUGACUCUCCUCCAGGGAGCUCAAACCUGCAGGUCCUUUGACCCUGAGGGCAAAUGAGGCCAGGGACAGGUCGGGUGGGCUCUGAGGCCCCCUGGGGGCAGAGCCCUGGCCCCAAGCCAUGCUGGCCCCUGCUGCUGCUGGGCUUGGCUGUGGGUGCCCAUGGUCGGCUGCCCCCAGUGACAGUAGCCCCACCGAACAGCACCCCAGACCCUGGAGCCCCAGCAGGAAGCAGCUCUCGGAGCCUGUGGGACAGUGAAGGAACCCAGCUCACCGUCCUAGGUCAGCCCAAGUCUGCGCCCUUGGUCACGCUCUUCCUGUCAUUCUCUGAGGAACUCGGCGCCAACAAAGCCACCCUGGUGUGCCUCAUCAGUGACUUCUACCCCAGCAGCUUGACGGUGGCCUGGAAGGUAGACGGCAGCAAUGUCACCCAGGGCGUGGAGACCACCAAGCCCUUCAUACAGAGCAACAACAAGUACGCGGCCAGCAGCUACCUGAGCCUGUCGCCUGACAAGUGGAAAUCAUACAGCAACGUCAGCUGCCUGGUCACGCACGAGGGGAGCACCGUGGAGAAGAAGGUGGUCCCCGCAGAGUGCUCUUAGGUCCCCGACACCCAAGGGGGCCUGGAGGCACAGGACCUCCAGGAGGAUCUGCCCUCCCACCAGGGUCACCCCGGCCCUUCUCGCUGCACCCGCUCGACACUCAAUAAAAUGUCCUUUAUUCAAUCAG